Molecule: ribosomal RNA, 460 nt
Filed under: uncultured bacterium
Lineage: Bacteria
Description: partial 16S ribosomal RNA
Rfam family: Bacterial small subunit ribosomal RNA
Source: RNAcentral
CCUACGGGUGGCAGCAGUGAGGAAUAUUGGUCAAUGGGCGCGAGCCUGAACCAGCCAAGUAGCGUGAAGGAUGACUGCCCUACGGGUUGUACACUUCUUUUAUAAAGGAAUAAAGUGAGGCACGUGGGCCUUUUUGUAUGUACUUUAUGAAUAAGGAUCGGCUAACUCCGUGCCAGUAGCCGCGGUAAUACGGAGGAUCCGAGCGAUAUCCGACUUUCAUGGGUUUAAAGGGAGCGUAGAUGGGUUGUUAAGUCAGUUGUGAAAGUUUGCGGCUGAACCGUAACAUUGAAAUUGAUCAGGGCAUUAUUGAGUACAUUUGAGGUAGGCGGAAUUCGUGGUGUAGCGGUGAAAUGCUUAGAUAUCACGAAGAACUCCGAUUGCGAAGGCAGCUUACUAAACUGCCACUGACAUUGAUGCUCGAAAGUGUGGGUAUCAAACAGGAUUAGAUACCCCUGUAGUC